RNAcentral lists this ribosomal RNA (385 nucleotides) under uncultured bacterium. Its description in RNAcentral is "bacterial SSU rRNA". It matches the Rfam family "Bacterial small subunit ribosomal RNA", at positions 29 to 417 of the family's 1533-position model. The record is from RNAcentral.
AUUGAACGCUGGCGGCAUGCCUUACACAUGCAAGUCGAACGGUAACGCGGGGCAACCUGGCGACGAGUGGCGAACGGGUGAGUAAUAUAUCGGAACGUGCCCAAUAGUGGGGGAUAGCCCGGCGAAAGCCGGAUUAAUACCGCAUACGACCUGAGGGUGAAAGCGGGGGAUCGCAAGACCUCGCGCUAUUGGAGCGGCCGAUAUCAGAUUAGGUAGUUGGUGGGGUAAAGGCCUACCAAGCCUACGAUCUGUAGCUGGUCUGAGAGGACGACCAGCCACACUGGGACUGAGACACGGCCCAGACUCCUACGGGAGGCAGCAGUGGGGAAUUUUGGACAAUGGGCGCAAGCCUGAUCCAGCCAUGCCGCGUGCGGGAAGAAGGCCU